GCAAGUCGAGGGGCAGCAUGAUUUGUAGCAAUACAGAUUGAUGGCGACCGGCGCACGGGUGAGUAACGCGUAUGCAACUUACCUAUCAGAGGGGGAUAGCCCGGCGAAAGUCGGAUUAAUACCCCAUAAAACAGAGGUCCCGCAUGGGAAUAUUUGUUAAAGAUUCAUCGCUGAUAGAUAGGCAUGCGUUCCAUUAGGCAGUUGGCGGGGUAACGGCCCACCAAACCGACGAUGGAUAGGGGUUCUGAGAGGAAGGUCCCCCACAUUGGUACUGAGACACGGACCAAACUCCUACGGGAGGCAGCAGUGAGGAAUAUUGGUCAAUGGCCGAGAGGCUGAACCAGCCAAGUCGCGUGAAGGAAGAAGGAUCUAUGGUUUGUAAACUUCUUUUAUAGGGGAAUAAAGUGGAGGACGUGUCCUUUUUUGUAUGUACCCUAUGAAUAAGCAUCGGCUAACUCCGUGCCAGCAGCCGCGGUAAUACGGAGGAUGCGAGCGUUAUCCGGAUUUAUUGGGUUUAAAGGGUGCGUAGGUGGUGAUUUAAGUCAGCGGUGAAAGUUUGUGGCUCAACCAUAAAAUUGCCGUUGAAACUGGGUUACUUGAGUGUGUUUGAGGUAGGCGGAAUGCGUGGUGUAGCGGUGAAAUGCAUAGAUAUCACGCAGAACUCCGAUUGCGAAGGCAGCUUACUAAACCAUAACUGACACUGAAGCACGAAAGCGUGGGGAUC
This 724-nucleotide ribosomal RNA is filed under the name uncultured Bacteroidales bacterium. RNAcentral's name for it is "bacterial SSU rRNA". It matches the Rfam family "Bacterial small subunit ribosomal RNA", at positions 57 to 769 of the family's 1533-position model. The record is from RNAcentral. Lineage: Bacteria; Pseudomonadati; Bacteroidota; Bacteroidia; Bacteroidales.